AUAUACAUGUGGAAAUGUCCAGUAACAAAUAUAAUGCAGGAUAUUAUUUAGCAAGAAUGGAUUAUUCAAUAUGAAAUAUAAUGUGAAUGUAAAAUGUACAGUGGGAGUUGAAGUCCAGUUAUUAAGAGAAGCUAUGGAGCAGAGAGUUCUCUGCCAGCCAGAGGGGAUUUGUUAUAGAGAGUUAUUGCAGUGGGCAGGAAUGUUUUCCUGUAUCUGUCCUUGUGACAGCGGAGCUGCAGAAGUCUGUUGGAGAAGGAGCUCCGCUGGCCAUAAUUACACAUUCAAAUGAGAAGACACUUGAUUUUUGGAGAUACACUGAUGUUGUUAAUCAUCAGUGAAUUGUGUAGGAACACCCUGUGGCCGCAGGGUAGAGCUGUUUCUCAGGUAUUCACUCAUACAGGGAGAAUCUCAUUAAUUGAAUGUUUGUCUGUCUGCUGUCAGUCAGCAGAUUCAGUUCGGUGCUGUGAGACUCAUUUUGCUUUGUUCUGGAUUUAUUUUCUAAGCAACACUUGGAUACAACAUCGCAUCUCCAGGCCCAGAACACAUUACCUCCAGCAGUUUAAGCUUCUAGUUUCAGUGUUUCAGUACAAAUGCAGCGCUGCACACCAAAGAUGGCUUCCACCCUCAGGUGAAGGCUGCCUGCCAGGUUCAGAGGACGGACUCAGUGAGGGCUCACAGACAGCACAGAGGCCGAUCGGACACCAACCAAGAGGAAAUCCAACUGCUGCUGAUCAGAAAAUGGCCGCCUGGAUACACUGUACUGAGCACACAGCAACACAUGACGGCACAGAGGAGGGGGAAAUCAGACUGAAAUAUGGACUCACCAUGCACACUGUGGAUAUAAUGAACAGACUGUAUAUAAAGUGAUGACAUAACUAAAACAUGUAUUUGUGUUGCUCUCAGGUGGCCUGAGAGGAGGUUGUAUAUAUUGAUUUCUAAGUUAAGACAACAAGAAGUCCUCUCAGAAAUGUUUGUACUGCUGGAUGGAGUUACACAUUUUAAAGCUUUGUAAUAUGUGACCCGCUCUAUCGAAAUCAGUCGGAAGUCGCAACGGCUCAUUUAAAAAAUAAACGUGGAUUUGCGUACAAAACUAUUUUUUCGGGGUUCGAGUGUUUUGCUUGAUUGUAAACAAACAAAGUCUUGGCUUUCAGAAUAUGAAACUUUUAUUUCCAAACUCACACGAUAAAUACAUUC
This is a long non-coding RNA of Gymnodraco acuticeps, 1194 nucleotides long. RefSeq lists it as uncharacterized. NCBI's taxonomy places the organism in Eukaryota, Metazoa, Chordata, Actinopteri, Perciformes, Bathydraconidae. The transcript has 3 exons. The record is from RefSeq and is a predicted model, not a curated record.